CCUCCGUUUUUCCGCCGUUCUUACUAUUGUUCAAUUGUCGGAAUCCUUAACCAGCCAAGUCGCGUGAGGGAAUAAGGCCCUACGGGUCGUAAACCUCUUUUGCCGGGGAGCAAGGGCCGGGACGCGUCCCGGCCCGGAGAGUACCCGGAGAAAAAGCAUCGGCUAACUCCGUGCCAGCAGCCGCGGUAAUACGGAGGAUGCGAGCGUUAUCCGGAUUUAUUGGGUUUAAAGGGUGCGUAGGCGGGCUUUUAAGUCAGCGGUAAAAAUUCGGGGCUCAACCCCGUCCGGCCGUUGAAACUGGGGGCCUUGAGUGGGCGAGAAGAAGGCGGAAUGCGUGGUGUAGCGGUGAAAUGCAUAGAUAUCACGCAGAACCCCGAUUGCGAAGGCAGCCUUCCGGCGCCCUACUGACGCUGAGGCACGAAAGUGCGGGGAUCGAACAGGAUUAGAUACCCUUGUAGUC
RNAcentral lists this ribosomal RNA (460 nucleotides) under uncultured bacterium. RNAcentral's name for it is "partial 16S ribosomal RNA". It matches the Rfam family "Bacterial small subunit ribosomal RNA", at positions 338 to 795 of the family's 1533-position model. The record is from RNAcentral.